UCUGGGUUUGGCCGCUGUGUCAGCAUCGCUCUUGAUUUUUAAAGGUAACAUUUUCAUCUCUGGAGAUGAUUCAUAGUUUACAAGUGUAGCCUAUAACUGAAAUAGAAAUGUUGCUUGUUUCCUUUUCAGGUUCACCUUCAGGAAGAAUUCCUCUAUUUUUCAGCCAUGAAACGGCUAAUCCUCGUUCUGUGCAUCAUCGCUGUAGGCUAUACCUCUCCUGUCUCUGAGGAGGAGAAUGACCGAGUCAAACGCUCAAGCUCGAACAGUUAUGAGAGGUACCGCUUCCAGAGGUAUAUGCCAUAUGGACCAAUGGUACGGCCAUUCAUGCCCCAACCUGUGCCCCCGCCUAUGUUUCCUCCUCAGGCUCCAUC
Monopterus albus (swamp eel) is the source of this 371-nucleotide long non-coding RNA. RefSeq lists it as uncharacterized. The transcript has 3 exons. The record is from RefSeq and is a predicted model, not a curated record. Lineage: Eukaryota; Metazoa; Chordata; Actinopteri; Synbranchiformes; Synbranchidae.